Molecule: ribosomal RNA, 657 nt
Filed under: uncultured bacterium
Lineage: Bacteria
Description: bacterial SSU rRNA
Rfam family: Bacterial small subunit ribosomal RNA
Source: RNAcentral
GUCGAACGGGCGUAGCGAUACGUCAGUGGCAGACGGGUGAGUAACGCGUGGGAACGUACCUUUUGGUUCGGAACAACUGAGGGAAACUUCAGCUAAUACCGGAUAAGCCCUUACGGGGAAAGAUUUAUCGCCGAAAGAUCGGCCCGCGUCUGAUUAGCUAGUUGGUGAGGUAAUGGCUCACCAAGGCGACGAUCAGUAGCUGGUCUGAGAGGAUGAUCAGCCACAUUGGGACUGAGACACGGCCCAAACUCCUACGGGAGGCAGCAGUGGGGAAUAUUGGACAAUGGGGGAAACCCUGAUCCAGCCAUGCCGCGUGAGUGAUGAAGGCCCUAGGGUUGUAAAGCUCUUUUGUGCGGGAAGAUAAUGACGGUACCGCAAGAAUAAGCCCCGGCUAACUUCGUGCCAGCAGCCGCGGUAAUACGAAGGGGGCUAGCGUUGCUCGGAAUCACUGGGCGUAAAGGGUGCGUAGGCGGGUUACUAAGUCAGAGGUGAAAGCCUGGAGCUCAACUCCAGAACUGCCUUUGAUACUGGAAGUCUUGAGUUCGGGAGAGGUGAGUGGAACUGCGAGUGUAGAGGUGAAAUUCGUAGAUAUUCGCAAGAACACCAGUGGCGAAGGCGGCUCACUGGCCCGAUACUGACGCUGAGGCACGAAAGCGU